Molecule: long non-coding RNA, 8391 nt
Filed under: Ananas comosus (pineapple)
Lineage: Eukaryota; Viridiplantae; Streptophyta; Magnoliopsida; Poales; Bromeliaceae
Description: long non-coding RNA (ACOM_LNC013577)
Source: RNAcentral
UUUUGGAUAGUUAUUGGAGACCUACUUGUAUUUUGAGGAAAACAUGUAUUUACAUUUUGGAAGAUGGAAAUGUAAUAUAUUCAAUGAAGUAAAUGCUGAAUGGUUGUAAUAGUUAGACUAUCUCUUUUUAUACACUUGUACAUUCACUUGUAGUUCUUGCUCUUAGUUAUAGUGCACUUGUGUGCAUCGUAUCGAUCAUGAAUGUUAUUUAAGCAUUCCCUGGGCGCUUAACUGUACAUGAUCUGGUUGCUUGGCCUUGGGCGGACAGGAGAGGUGCUGUCUGUUCGGCGGUCCGUCCGGCGCGCCCGAACCGUGCCAAAUUGGUAGUGGAUUCGGGGCGGGGCGUGACAGAGAGUUGUUGGUAUCAGAACAAUUAAGAGCAAGUAAAGAGAGAGUCUAGGAUGGACCUAGGAGACCUAGGUUGGCAACCCUAAGGUGGUAAGUACGUGAGAGAAACGUAAACCUAAAUCGGUUGAGGAAGAAUCCGAUUGGGUCGAAUUGAGCAUAGAUCUCUAGUGUGGCUAGAGAUAGAUCCGAGCGGUGUUAGUUUCUGAGCUCGAGGAGUUUGUGUUGGUAGCCGACAACACGACGCUAAGAGUCAGAACUAAUACACUAGUGUCCGUCCGCUGGUAGCGGAGUCGAGUCGCGUAAUACAGUAUAUGCGACGGAGUUAAGUGGGUUAGAUGACUAACCCGGUUGUUGCGUUACAGGAACGAUGUCCCCAAGAUGCUACGUACGUAGGUCCGUUCCGGCACCGUCUCCUGAGGUGCCUGAGGAAGCCGGAUCUAGUGAAGUACAGGAGUUACGGGCGCAGGUGUCGGCAUUGACCGGCAUUGUACAGCGCCAGGAGAGUCAGUUUGAGCAGCUCCAAGGGCUUAUGGAGCAGCAUUUGGCGGCGGCAACUGCAGCUGCGACUGAGGGCCGUGAUCCACCCCCGCCGCCAGCACGUGCGCCUACGGCGGCUGAGGGCGAGGGCAUUGCGGCAGUUCCGGUGGCGGCACGUCCUCUGCCGGCGAGCGUUCCUCCGGCGGCGUCGGGUUCUACGACACUCGAUACGACGGCAUUGGAGGUGGAGAGGGAGCGCGCGCUUACGGCUCUCGAGAAGUUCCGGAGGUUCAAUCCACCGACCUUCGAGGGAGAGAAGGUCGAACCAUGGAUGGUUGAGUCGUGGGUGGACUCAAUAGAGACCUUGUUCGAGGACCUCUACACCUUGGAGAGGGACAAGGUCUACCUCGCCACUCAUUGUUUGGAGCGAACGGCGAAGGUUUGGUGGAAGUGAAUCAAGAGGAACCGAGCUUCCGACCUUCCACCAUUGACGUGGGAGGAGUUUCGGGGAUUGUUUUAUGUCAACUACUUUCCCGAUAACGAGAAGAAGAAACUCCAGGAGCAGUUUUGAAGGUUAAAGCAAGGGAACCGCACGGUAGCGAAAUAUAAGCGAGAGUUCUCUCAUAUCAUUGACUGUGUCCCCGACGUAGUGCGGGAUGACAGGGAUCGAGCCGAUUGGUUCGAGCGAGGGCUCCGGGCUGAUAUCUACCGGGCGGUGCACAUAUAGAAGCUCACUACCUUCGUGGAGGUGCUCAACAGAGCGUUGUGGGCGGAGCAAGGAAACGCUCACAUCCGGGAGGAGCGAGAAGCGUCCGAGGAGGACGGUGGUAAGAAGCGGGCUCAGAGUAGCUCGGGAGCUCAAACCAAGUCAAUGAAGCCCUCGAAGUACCUGCAAACGCAAUACAAGGGCCGCAGACCGUAGUGAUGCACAAUCUGUGGUGGGAACCACGAGCCAAGGACGUGUGAUCAACGGGAAGGGAAGUGCUUCACGUGUGGACAGGCGGGCCAUAUCAGCCACUACUGUUCAAUGAGGGCUUCACCCGCCCCUUCGGUCGCGUCGGCUCCGGCGACUCCAGCGCAUUAUGGAGGAGUCCCACCUGCUGCGUCAUCGGCUGGACGUGCGAUGGUACUAUGCCAACCUGAGGCAACGAGAUCGGCUCCGAGCGGGCGGGUGUUCGCCGCCCAAACUCAAGCCGAGGAACCUGCUGAGGCGGAGGACCGCCAUGUACUCGCAGGUAUGGUUUUAAUUGACGAAGUUCGCUCCAGGGCUAUGUUUGAUAUAGGUGUUACACAUUCAUUCAUCAGUAGGUCAUUUGCACGCAUGCAUGACAUAGAACUACAAGAGAGUAAAAGCACUUGGAGAGUAUCGGGCCACGGACGUGAUUUUCUAGUCCGGAUGGAGUGUUCGUCUUGUCCAGUGCAGUUGGGCGAUUGGAUAAUGCCCAUCCGUAUGUUGGUGCUCAAAAGGUUGAAGGACUUCAACGUCAUUCUAGGAAUGGAUUGGCUCUCGAAGGAUUAUGCGACUAUUCACUGCAGAAGUAAAGUAAUAAUGUUUCGAGAACCGGGCCAGGAGGAAUUCACCUACCGGGCUUGUAGAAGCUCGCGCUUCGCUGCUAUGGUGUCGGCGACGAGGGCAAAGAAGUUGAUUAACAGCGGUUGUACGGCCUAUUUGGCGACCGUUGUGGAAGUCGAGAGGACGACUCCUACGCUCGAGGAGCUGUCUAUGGUUCGGGAAUUUCCAGACGCAUUUCCUGCGGAGUUACCGGGAAUGCCGCCAGACCGAAAGAUCGAGUUUGUGAUAGAUUUGGUUCCAGGAACCGCGCCUAUCUCGAAGGCUCCGUAUCGGAUGGCGCCGGCAGAAUUGAAGGAGUUACGGGCUCAGUUGAUAGAUCUCCUCGAUAAGGGAUUUAUACGGCCAAGUGUAUCGCCGUGGGGAGCCCCGGUUCUAUUCGUGCGAAAGAAGGACGGAUCGUUUCGACUCUGUGUAGACUAUCGCGAGUUGAACAAGGUCACGAUCAAGAAUAAGUACCCGUUGCCCAAGAUCGAUGAUUUAUUUGAUCAGUUGCAAGGAUCUCGGGUUUAUUCAAAGAUUGAUCUACAGUCCAGUUAUCAUCAACUCAAGAUCAAGCCGGAAGACGUUCAAAUGACCGCGUUUCGCACGUGGUAUGGACACUACGAAUUCACGGUCACGCAAUUUGGGCUCACUAAUGCCCCGGCAGCGUUCAUGGAUUUAAUGAACCGUGUCUUCAACGAGUACUUGGACUGAUUUGUCGUGGUCUUCAUAGACAACAUCUUGGUCUACUCGCGCAGCGACGAGGAACAUGCCGAGCAUUUGAAAAUCGUGCUUUAAAUCCUUCGGGAGGAGAAGUUGUAUGCUAAGUUUAAGAAAUGCGACUUUUGGCUCCGAGAGGUUGCAUUUCUUGGGCAUGUCAUUUCCGAGGGAGGAGUAUCUGUUGACCCGAGAAACGUGGAGGCAAUCAGGGAUUGGCCUCGCCCGACUAACGUCACAAAAGUUCGAAGCUUUGUGGGUUUAGCGGGUUAUUAUAGACGGUUCGUGGAGGGAUUCUCGAAAAUCGUGGGUCCACUUACCCGUCUGACUCGGAAAGGCACCAAGUUCAUUUGGAGUAACGAGUGCAACCGGAGUUUUCAAGAGUUGAAGGAUAGAUUAACUUCGACUCCGGUGCUCGCCUUACCGGUGCAAGACGAAGACUUUGUGGUGUAUAGCGACGCGUCGCAAUCGGGUUUGGGGUGUGUUCUGAUGCAGGGCGGGAAAGUGAUCGCAUAUGCGUCCCGUCAGCAGAAGAGCUAUGAGAAGAACUAUCCUGUCCAUGAUUUAGAGUUGGCCACAGUAGUGUUUGCUCUCAAGUUAUGGAGGCACUACUUGUACGGCGCACGUUGCGAGAUAUACACGGACCACAAAAGUCUAAAGUACCUGUUUACACAGAAGGAGCUCAAUAUGCGGCAACGGCGGUGGUUGGAAUUGCUAAAGGAUUUCGAUGUUACAAUCCUAUACCAUCCCGGAAAAGCAAACGUGGUGGCCGACGCGCUUAGCAGGAAGUCAGUGGAGAAUCUUGCUAUGUUGGUCACACGUCAAGAACCUCUGUGGAGAGAGAUGGAACGAUUGGAUCUCGAAGUGGUAGCUCCGGAAAUCCCGUCUAUGCUUACGGCUCUCGUUGUCCAUCCGACCUUGUUGGAGUGGAUUAAGAGUUUGCAACCUGCGGACCCCAAUCUCCAAAAGGUGCGGCGAGACAUCGAGAGUGGAUAUGGCGGUGAUUUUAGUGUAGACGCUUAGGUUGCCCUUCGGUUUCGAAACCGAUGGUGCGUACCGGAGAACGAGGAGGUCCGAAAGUUAAUAUUGCAAGAAGCACAUCGGACUCCUUAUAGUAUUCACCCGGGUGGCACCAAGAUGUACCGUGAUCUGAAGAUGCAGUACUGGUGGCCGGGCAUGAAAGCAGACAUCGUGCGCUAUGUAGCGCAGUGUUUAGUAUGCCAGCAAGUGAAGGCUGAGCGCCGAUUUCCAGCGGAAAAGCUCCAAAGUUUACCUAUUCCCAUUUAGAAAUGGGAGAAUAUCGCGAUGGACUUCGUGGUCGGAUUGCCCCGUUCGACGGGUGGCCACGAUGCGAUCUGGGUGAUUGUGGAUCGUAUGACUAAGUCGGCACACUUUCUACCCAUUCACACCACCUGGUCGGGCGACAAGUUGGCGCAGGUAUACUUGAAUGAAGUUGUGAGGUUGCACAGGGUUCCGAAGUCGAUCGUGUCAUAUCGAGACCCCCGUUUUACUUCGCACUUUUGGAAAAGUCUGCAAGAAGCACUUAGAACACGACUCGAUUUCAGCACCGCGUUUCAUCCUCAGACAGACGGACAGUCGGAAAGGACUAUACAAAUUCUGGAGGAUAUGUUGCGGGCGUGUGUCAUUGACUACAAGGGUAGUUGGGCAAACUAUUUGAGGAUGGCCGAGUUCGCCUACAAUAACAAUUAUCAAGCUAGCAUUGAGAUGGCACCGUUCGAGGUCCUAUAUGACCGGCAAUGCCGAUCCCCUAUAUAUUGGAGCGAUGUAGGUGAACCUCCGGCAUUGGGCCCAGACAUAUUGCGAGAGGCGGAAGAGAAGGCCCGUCUCGCUCGCGAGAGGCUACUUACGGCACAGUCGAGGCAAAAGAGCUAUUCUGACAAACGCCGUAGAGAUUUGGAAUUCGCGGCGGGUGACCGCGUUUUCUUGAAGGUUUCACCUAUGAGAGGUGUGAAACGCUUCGGAGUGCGGGGAAAGCUAAGUCCCCGAUAUAUUGGGCCUUUCGAAGUGUUGGAACAGGUUGGAGCGGUAGCGUACCGACUUGCAUUACCGCCGAAGCUUGCGGGGAUGCAUGAUGUAUUCCAUGUUUCUAACCUUCGUAAGUAUGUCCACGAUCCCGAGCAUGUCCUGUAUUACAAACUGCCGGAUCUACAAGAGGAUUUGAGGUAUGAAGAGUUCCCGGCGAUGAUCAUUGCUCGAGAAGUGCGGAAGCUAAGAAAUCGUGAGAUUCCCUAUGUGAAGAUUCGUUGGACCGGUCACGACGAUCGUGAGGCCACGUGGGAACUCGAGAAAUCGAUGAAAGUGCAUUAUUCUCAUCUCUUUGAGGAAAUGCGUUGAGGUAUGAGUUAAUUAAGUUAAUGAAUUCGUUUCGAGGACGAAACUCCUUUUUAGGAAGGGAAGAUGUGAGGAAGUGAAUUCUCGAAAUACGAGAGUUAGACUUCAUGCAAAAUCGACCAAGGGUCGUGUUGGUGAGCUUUGGAAAAGCCAAAUAUGUUAAAAUUACCAAAAGUGCUUUGGAAGUGAGUCCACGAGGGCAAAUAGUGCAAAACCUGCACUGGAGCAAAAUUGCUCUCGGGGACAGGUCUCUGGCAGGGAGGGACCGGUCCCAUUGGCUGGGGUUGCGGGGAUUCUUGAGGCAACCGGUCCCUGGCAGGGAGAGACCGGUCCCCGAACGCGAACCCAGCGAGAAAAGCCAAAAAUUUGGCUAAGUCCCGAAAAUCCUGCUCUCGGGAACUGGUCUCUCAGGAAGGAACCGGUCUCCCGAGGACCGGUCUCUCUGGGAGAGACCGGUACCCGAACGCGUGACUCGAGCUGAAGCUCUCGGGGACCGGUCCCAAGUCGGGGAGACCGGUCCCUCCGCGCGCAGAAUGCCCAGUAAGGACUGUGCAGGGGAUGAAAAGUAGAGGGGGCUGCUCGGAUAUUGUUACAUUAGAGAGUAUAGGGGACCCCCUCUCUCUCUUCAACCCUCAUUUCUCCCUCUCUCUCACACUCUUUUGCUCCCUCUCUCUCUCUAGAAGGAAAAGAGAAGAAGAACAAGAAGGAGAAGAAGGAAAGAAAGAGAAGAAAAGGAAGGAGAAGAAGAAGGAGAUAAAGAGGAAGACCUUGGACAUCUCCCCCUCCCCCUCCUCUUCCUCUUGGUGUAGCUAAGAGGUAAGCUACCAAACCCUAGCUUGUGAAACUUAGGGUUUUUGGGUUUUAGCUCUUUGGAUGGGAUCAAAUGGAUCCCUAGCACCAUGAAUGGUUGGAUUGGAGCUAGAAUCUAGGGUUUUGAUAUGGGUUUAGCUUGAUGCUAACCCUAGGGCACCAAAAUAGGGUUUUUUUUUGGUAAAGUAUGAGAUUGAUCUCAUUUGAAGUCUUGUAAACCUAAUUGGUAGGUGCCGAAACGUGGGGGCGAAGCUGGAAUUUCGAUUCGUCGAGCGGGUCAAGAACUAUCGGCAAAAUAAGGCCGAUUGAGCAUCAUUUGGACCAAGGAGACCGAGGCUUCGUCAUAAAGAACGCCGAAACGCAUUUCUAGAGCCUCCGUAUACACAAAAUGUGGGGGGUGUCAUCCCGAAGCAUCCGGGUUUCCUUUUAUGUCUAAGCUAAUUUUAUUCAUCAUAUGUUGAUUGUGCAUUAUAGGAUUAGUAGAAGCAUAUUUCCAUUCCUUGCAUGCUUACUUAGUAGUGUAGCGGUAUGGGCUUGACACUUGGACUAGGGAGGCAUGAGGAUUGGGUCUUGAGACCAGGAAUCCUAUAGUGGCAAAAGUGAUGAACUUGGACAUAGCCUAGUAGAGUGGCAUUGACUAGUAUAGUAGAAACACUAAACUUGAACGAGUGGCAUGUCGACUAGUUAGAAGAUAUUACUACAACGACUGAACGAGUGGCAUCGAGUCUAGUGUAGUAAAUAUGACAUGGUUCUUGGGAUAGUAGAGGUCCCGGCAUCUAGGAUGCAUUGUUUAUUGUGCAGCAGAGGCACAUUGACCCUUGUAGAUAGGGUAUCCUCUUGUGAGGAUUUGAUCAUACUCACUAGUCUGUUUUGCUUGUCGGUGGUCGCUCCACCGAGGCACGAGUCUCCGGAGUAUCUCACAGGGUUGUCCCACAGACGGUCUCGGUGUGCGAGUGCAGCUUGAAAUGCAUAGUAGACUUGCAUUAUUACCUUGAGUAGACAUAGUGUAUGCUGUAGAUUACAUUGCUAUGUACCUUAUAUACUCAUGACAUGAUGCUAGCAUGAUAGUAGUUGUUGCAUGCAUUAUUAUCAUUGAUGGCAUGAUAGAGUAGUUGUAGUUCAUUUUCUAUAUAUCUAUCUAUUUUUCUAUCUGUGGCAGCUUAGACCUAGUGGGAAAACCGGCGGCGACGGCGGCCGAACCCACUGGGAACUAUAUUCAUAUAGUUCUCACCCCGUGCAGUUUUGGGGUACAGUUACACACAGAGGCGAGCCGAGCGAGGACUGCGGCAAGGGCAUAGCGCCCUAAGUGAGCCUAGUUAGUAGCUUUUCCUUUAUGCAUUAGAGUACCCUCGUGUACUAGAUGAUGUUUUCGAUAGUUAUUGGAGACCUACUUGUAUUUUGAGGAAAACAUGUAUUUACAUUUUGGAAGAUGGAAAUGUAAUAUAUUCAAUGAAGUAAAUGCUGAAUGGUUGUAAUAGUUAGACUAUCUCUUUUUAUACACUUGUACAUUCACUUGUGAUUCUUGCUCUUAGUUAUAGUGCACUUGUGUGCAUCGUAUCGAUCAUGUAUGUUAUUUAAGCAUUCCUUGGGCACUUAAUUGUACAUGUUCUGGUUGCUUGGCCUUGGGCGGAUAGAAGAGGUGCUGUCCGUUCGGCGGUCCGUCCGGCGCGCACGAACCGUGCCAAAUUGGUAGUGGAUUCAGGGCAGGGUGUGACACUUUAAUUUUAACUUUAUCACUGAUUUAAGGAAAAAAAAUAAUGAAAUUGAUAAGAAAAAGAGAGAAAAGAAACCAUAGGGGGGCAAAUUGAUACAUUUUAAACAACAGGGGAGCAAAGUAAGAAAUUACGAAACCACAGGGGGGGUUUUUGAAGUUUUCCUAAAAAAAAGAUUAGUACAAAGAUAGUAACCUUUCAAUAAGUGUUAAAUUGGUAUCAUAUGUUGAUAUAAAUGCAUUUAAUACAUAUAUUUAAUAGUAAUAUAUAUACUUUAUUUUAUAAAUAUAAUUAAGAACAUACUUAUCGUACCCGUAGCACAGUAUGCGUACAUCGCUAAUACCUUCUAAUUUAUAUGCCAUCCAAACUGACACAUAUUCUUUUUUAUGAAUUAUUUUAGUAUUAAUACAUAUAAUAAAAGGC